UCGAGAAUCAUUCACAAUGGGCGAAAGCCUGAUGGUGUGACGCCGCGUGGAGGAUGACGGUCUUCGGAUUGUAAACUCCUGUCAUGUGAGAGUAAGAACCAGGGAGUAACUGCCUGUGGUUUUGAGAGUAUCACAAGAGGAAGAGGCGGCUAACUCUGUGCCAGCAGCCGCGGUAAUACAGAGGCCUCAAGCGUUGUUCGGAAUCACUGGGCGUAAAGGGUGCGUAGGCGGCGCGGAAAGUCAGGGGUGAAAUCCCGGAGCUCAACUCCGGAACUGCCUUUGAUACUCCCGCGCUUGAGAACUGGAGGGGACAUCGGAAUUCACGGUGGAGCAGUGAAAUGCGUGGAUAUCGUGAGGAACACUAGUGGCGAAGGCGGAUGUCUGGACAGUAUCUGACGCUGAGGCACGAAGGCCAGGGGAGCGAACG
RNAcentral lists this ribosomal RNA (427 nucleotides) under uncultured bacterium. RNAcentral describes it as "bacterial SSU rRNA". It matches the Rfam family "Bacterial small subunit ribosomal RNA", at positions 355 to 774 of the family's 1533-position model. The record is from RNAcentral.